This 1544-nucleotide long non-coding RNA is filed under the name Triticum aestivum (bread wheat). Its description in RNAcentral is "long non-coding RNA (TAES_LNC006855)". Lineage: Eukaryota; Viridiplantae; Streptophyta; Magnoliopsida; Poales; Poaceae. The record is from RNAcentral.
UGGAUUUUGUCUUAGUCUAAUACGUAGGUAAUGCGCCUUUAACCAUAAGCCGUCCAUUACAAAAUCGAGGUUUCGAGAACCUUAUGUACUUGUUGGCAUUUUAAGGUUUAUGGCUGGCGUGACGUGUUUGAUUUUACUUUUUAGUGAAAUACACUUUAUAUACACUGGCUUUUGUCCUAGUCUCAUACAUAGGUACUGCGUCUUCAAUUAUAAGUCGUCCGUUACAAAAUCGAGGUUUCGAGAACCUUAUGUGCUUGUUGGCAUUUUAAGGUUGAUGGCUGGCGUGACGUGUUUGAUUUUACUUUUUAGUGAAAUACACUUUAUAUACACUGGUUUUUAUCUUAGUCUAAUAUGUAGGUACUACGCCUUCAACUAUAAGCCGUCCAUUACAAAAUCAAGGUUUCGAGAACUUGAUGUGCUUGUUGGCAUUUUAAGGUUGAUGAAUGAUGUGACAUGUUUGGUUUUAGGCAUAUGACAUUGUAUCUUGUUUCACAAGGUUGUCACACUUUAGAUAUUUGGAUGCUCCCAACUUUGAAAGAGAUCCUACGUGUUUUACAUUUAGAAGCAAAAAUAUUUAUUGUGUGAAGACAGAUGACGCUAUUGUAUCAUGGUUCCACACACGGUUUGUGCUAGAAUUUUGGACUUGCCUUUUUUCCGCAGAAAAUUGAAGCAUAUGUUAUUUUAAGUAAAACAAUUGUGUAUAUUAAUGGCGGGGCUAUACAUGUUUGGGGGGGAUUGGAAAAAUCAUUGAUUUUUUUUCUAGCACUAAGAUUGAAGAAAGUAUAGUCAUCCCCUCCCUCCCCAACCAUUCAUAUUUUCUGUUUUAGCCCCUACCAUUCUCGGCUAGCAUCGCCACUGAUAUAUACAUUAAUGUGUAUAGGUCUAACAGCUAGAUGCCACGCUCUAACUAUAAUAUGAGAUUUUCUCUUCAAGAAGUUGUUUCCCAAAAUGAAGCCCACAACGGAUGGCGUGCCAUAGGUACUAUGUGUGAUGAGUGGCUCUUGGCGUUUAUGAGGUGUUGGUGGCUAGCGUGGCGUGUUUCUUUGAUGGUCCCGGUGUUGUAUAACUCUUUGAUGGGGGGCUUGCAUUAGAAUUUGGUUUUCCCGUGCUUUUGCCGAAAUCUAUGGUCUUUCAAGAAAACUUUGAAAUGAUUUGCAACAAGCUAUAUUGGGUUCCCUUUCUUGCAAUCAAAGCAACAUGAAUAGAAAGUCAAAAAGGAUGGAAUCGAAGGCAUAAAUCAAACCCAAAUUAGACUGGCCAACAGAGAAAAUCCACCGUUGUUUUCACCACAAAAUCAAAUCAGGCAAGAGGGGAAAUCAACAGGAGAAGAAACCACACGAAUGCCCUCUUCUUUCCCUACGAUGUCUCCCUCUUCCUCAGCGUGGACCACAUCACCGGUUGUGUGAGGCCAAGUUGGCUAAGGUUUAAACAAGGUAUAGGCAAACAUGCUGCUUUGACCUAUGCACGACCUCUGCUUUCCACUCCUCGUAGUCCCAUGUAGCCUAGGUUGAGUGAGAGAAGGGGGAUUGGAUGUAGAGGCAAAC